AAAUGGGUGGAAAAUGGGGGUAAAUGGGUGGAAAAUUGGGUAAAUGGGUGGAAAAUGGGGGUAAAUGGGUGGAAAAUGUGGUUAAAUCUGAUCAAAGUGUGGUUAAAUCGGCACAAAAUGUGGGUAAAUGGGUGCAAAAUGGGGGUAAAUCG
RNAcentral lists this long non-coding RNA (152 nucleotides) under Chloebia gouldiae (Gouldian finch). Its description in RNAcentral is "Erythrura gouldiae (Gouldian finch) lncRNA (ENSEGOG00005017822.1)". Lineage: Eukaryota; Metazoa; Chordata; Aves; Passeriformes; Passeridae. The record is from RNAcentral.